RNAcentral lists this ribosomal RNA (348 nucleotides) under uncultured bacterium. RNAcentral's name for it is "partial 16S ribosomal RNA". It matches the Rfam family "Bacterial small subunit ribosomal RNA", at positions 338 to 700 of the family's 1533-position model. The record is from RNAcentral.
CCUACGGGUGGCAGCAGUGGGGAAUAGUGGGCAAUGGGCGCAAGCCUGACCCAGCAACGCCGCGUGAAGGAAGAAGGCUUUCGGGUUGUAAACUUCUUUUGGCAGGGACGAAGCAAGUGACGGUACCUGACGAAUAAGCCACGGCUAACGACGUGCCAGCAGCCGCAGGAAUACGUAGGUGGCAAGCGUUAUCCGGAUUUACUGGGUGUAAAGGGCGUGUAGGCGGGACUGGAAGUCAGAUGUGAAAACCACGGGCUCAACCUGUGGCCUGCAUUUGAAACUGUCGUUCUUGAGUACUGGAGAGGCAGACGGAAUUCCUCGUGUCGCGGUGCAUUGCGUAGAUCUUAG